CCCAGCGCUUCGCGUACCAGGAAGGGGACGGCGUCCUGAAAGGGACAUUUAAAAAACGGAGGCAACGCGUCUAUUAAUUAGGUGGCGGCGCCUGGGGUCGCAGCACUCAAGAGGCUGAGAGUCUCGCCCUUUUGCCUAGUGGAGGAGCUCGGCUCACUGCAAGCUCCGCGCCACAACCCCCCCGCCGCCCCAGGUUCAAGCGAUUCUCCUGCCUCAGUCUCCCGAGUAGACUGGGAUUACAGGCGACUGCCACCAUGCCCGGCUAAUUUUUGUAUUUUUGGUAGAGACGGGGUUUCACUAUGUUGGCCAGGCUGAACCCGAACUCGUGACCUCAGGUGAUCUUCCCGCCUCAGUCUCUGAGUGCUGGGAUUGUAGGCGC
Molecule: non-coding RNA, 379 nt
Filed under: Pongo abelii (Sumatran orangutan)
Lineage: Eukaryota; Metazoa; Chordata; Mammalia; Primates; Hominidae
Source: RNAcentral